GUAGCUCUAAGUGCAAAAGGGUCACAGAACCCGGACCACUUCAAUGAGCUGAAGUGGUCGGAGUGCCUCGUGUCACUUUAAACAAAGCAGACAUUCCUGCUCUAAAACUUAGCUUAUUUUAAAUCAAAGCACCUGGCCUGUAGAAAAUGUGCCACCACUUUGCCUGAUGGGUGUAAAAAAUACAAGUAAGCAAGUCUCAGCGGAGUCCUUAGUAAAAGGUAAAUAGAGAAGCAUAGGUUCCUGAAUCAGAAUCUAUUCCACAGAAACCGCAACUGUACAGGAUAGGUCUUUCAAAGGAAAAGAAAGGUCUUCUCCCUCUGGGUUAGCAUCUGGUGAAUACUCACAGUCCUUUGAAGUCUCCAGCCAAGAAUCACUUUCUGAUUCCUGGCAUAACUGAAUAAAUUUCAGUUAUGGAAAAAACGGG
Pelobates cultripes (western spadefoot toad) is the source of this 424-nucleotide non-coding RNA. NCBI's taxonomy places the organism in Eukaryota, Metazoa, Chordata, Amphibia, Anura, Pelobatidae. The record is from the annotation of a GenBank genome assembly.